AUCAGCCUCCGAAGGGCACUUUGAAUGGGGAGAACAAUCAUGAUAGUUCCAAAUGAAAAUGGCUUAUAAAUUGGUCCUGUCUCGUGUAUCUGUUUGGUUGCCCAAAUGGGAGUGUGGUUGCCUUCCAAUUUGCUGUACACUUGUUCUCUGCACUCACAAAUCUUCAACGGAGGAUUCCUCGUCUCUGCCCUCGUGUCGGGAGAGUGAAUGCCUUCCAGCCUGCUGUGCGCUGUUCUCUGCACCUCACUACGCUUCAAAGGAGUAUUUCUACGAAUCUGCUCCUGACUUCACGAUGCACACAUUCGCCUGCAAACACACUAUUCACGGAUUUGCCCAUUGCGCAGCCACAGCGCGCACGCAACCACAGACUCCCAUCACGCCAUGUGGGACCAGUUUCUGCAUGGGCUUUCUGACGACAUCCAGGGUGAAAUAUAUCCUUUGGAUCUGCCUCCACGCUUCGAUGAUUUGGCGGAUCUGGCUAUCCGAGUAGAUCAAUGUCUGGCCCUAUGCCGUCGCCACCAUUCUCCACCAACCUGGGCGGCUGGCCAUCCAACCCAGUUCACUGCUUCGGCCAGUUCACCAGAAUCACGGCCCAACACAGAGCCCAUGCAAGUUGGGAGAACUCGGAUUUCACAUAAGGAGAAGCAGUGACGCCUUGGUCAAGGAUUAUGCUUUAAGUGUGACCAGUCUGGUCAUUUCUCUGCUUCCUGUCUGGUAAAAGAUACCACUCAUCAGUAGGAAGGGGGUUACUGGCGAGUGCAGCACUCUUGGAGAAAGCCCCCGGAUUACGUACAGUUCUCCCGGCCCUGCUGCAGUAUGGAUCUACCAGUCACACGGUCUCAGCCUUGGUGGAUUCCGGAGACGAAGGGAACUUUAUGGACAUUGACUUGGCUUCCGAAUGGCGGGUUCCUAUGGUCCAGUUGGAUGAACCUAUCACCGCCCACACCCUCAGUGGCACGCCCUGUCAUCACCCAGUCACCUUUGUCUCUGGAAAUCAGAUGGAGCAGUAGUCCUUUUACCUGAUCCAAUCUCCAUCUGCACCGGCAUUGUUGGGGCAUCCUUGGUUGGUGACGCACAACCCACACAUAGACUGGUCAACCAACACUGUUCUUGCUUGGAUUCCUUACUGUUUGUCGCACUGUCUUAACUCUGCUGUCUCCCCUGUCCAGAACCGGUGGAUUUAUCCGGAGUACCGUUGACAUACCAUAACUUGAGGGCGGUGUUCAGCCGGUCCCGCACACGACCCUUCCUCCUCAUCGCCCGUAUGACUGUCCGAUUGAAGUUCUUCCUGGCGCUUCGCCUCCUCGGGGGUGGCUGUGUUCGCUCUCGGCUCCCGAGAGGAAGGCCAUGAACAGUCCCGGCUCGGGACAUCCUGGACCAUGCCUUCAUAGACCUGUUUCACCUCUGGCUAGGUAAUUCUGCUGAGGAUGCAAGGAGGCGUCCCUGGGUUGUACUGUCACGGCUCCAGUAAGUUUGUCUUUUUGUUCUGUGUGUUUUAUA
Molecule: long non-coding RNA, 1500 nt
Organism: Myxocyprinus asiaticus (Chinese sucker)
Lineage: Eukaryota; Metazoa; Chordata; Actinopteri; Cypriniformes; Catostomidae
Exons: 3
Source: RefSeq, a predicted model, not a curated record